GACGAACGCUGGCGGCAUGCCUAAUACAUGCAAGUCGAGCGAACAGAUGAAGUGCUUGCACUUCUGACGUUAGCGGCGAACGGGUGAGUAACACGUAAGGAAUCUACCUAUAAGCGGGGGAUAACAUUCGGAAACGGGUGCUAAUACCGCAUAAUAUCUUCUUCCGCAUGGAAGAAGAUUGAAAGACGGCUCUGCUGUCACUUAUAGAUGACCUUGCGGUGCAUUAGUUAGUUGGUGGGGUAACGGCCUACCAAGACGAUGAUGCAUAGCCGACCUGAGAGGGUGCGCGUCCACAUUGGGACUGAGACACGGCCCAAACUCCUACGGGAGGCAGCAGUAGGGAAUCUUCCGCAAUGGGCGAAAGCCUGACGGAGCAAUGCCGCGUGAGCGAAGAAGGCCUUCGGGUCGUAAAACUCUGUUAUAAGAGAAGAACAAAUUGUAGAGUAACUGCUACAGUCUUGACGGUAUCUUAUCAGAAAGCCACGGCUAACUACGUGCCAGCCGCCGCCGUAA
Molecule: ribosomal RNA, 513 nt
Filed under: uncultured bacterium
Lineage: Bacteria
Description: partial 16S ribosomal RNA
Rfam family: Bacterial small subunit ribosomal RNA
Source: RNAcentral